This 449-nucleotide ribosomal RNA is filed under the name uncultured bacterium. Its description in RNAcentral is "bacterial SSU rRNA". It matches the Rfam family "Bacterial small subunit ribosomal RNA", at positions 335 to 798 of the family's 1533-position model. The record is from RNAcentral.
ACUCCUACGGGAGGCAGCAGUGGGGAAUCUUGCGCAAUGGGCGAAAGCCUGACGCAGCGACGCCGCGUGCGGGAUGACGGCCUUCGGUUGUAACCGCUUUCGGCAGGGACGAAAAUAGACGGUACCUGCAGAAGAAGCCCGGCUAACUACGUGCCAGCAGCCGCGGUAAUACGUAGGGGGCAAGCGUUGUCCGGAUUUAUUGGGGCGUAAAGAGCUCGUAGGCGGUUCAGUAAGUCGGGGUGUGAAAAAUCUGGGGCUCAACCCAGUGGAGCACCCGAUACUGCUGUGACUAGAGUCCGGUAGGGGAGUGUGGAAUUCCUGGUGUAGCGGUGAAAUGCGCAGAUAUCAGGAGGAACACCGACAGCGAAGGCAGCACUCUGGGCCGGUACUGACGCUGAGGAGCGAAAGCAUGGGGAGCAAACAGGAUUAGAUACCCUGGUAGCGACUGA